Molecule: long non-coding RNA, 1441 nt
Filed under: Homo sapiens (human)
Lineage: Eukaryota; Metazoa; Chordata; Mammalia; Primates; Hominidae
Description: novel transcript
Source: RNAcentral
GGUUGAGCGUCUAGCCCAUCUCUGCGUGACUUCCGCCAGCGUUUAGAGCGUUUUCGGGGUCCGAGUUGAAGAGCAAAACCAAGUGAAGGAAACUUCACUAAGUUCAGGGUGACAAGGGAGGAAGUACAGAGACUGCACUUUAAAUUCUGGAUGACAGACCUAUCAGGACUGAGUGGACCUUUGAGUGACAAGAUGGGGGUGUUCCAAAGAGACCAUGGCAGCCUGCAGCUAGGACUUUAAUAAACAGAGCGCUUAAAAAGCACUGUCUGGAUAUCUUCAGAGGGAAAAAGGAGAAAGUUAACUGAAUUGGUGACACUUCGGGUCUCUCACAGAGGAAGAGACCACCAAACCAACAGAAGCCACCAGGACAGCACACAGCCAUUCCAAAAUUCCAGACCAGGAUCAUUCCAGAAAAGCCUUACAUCUCAGUCCAGUAUAUGGAUGGUUUUGUAAGAUGACCUAUGAUUUUUCUGUUCCUCCUUCCUGCCCCUAACUUCAGAGAAACAGACCUAGAAAGAGGGAAGGAAGGAGUGAAAAAGCGUGCCAUACUUUAUCUUCUCCCCUUCUGUUUUAAACUAGACAAAUCUAUAUUUUAAUUAUUAUAAGUAACCAGAAAGUUAUAUGGUCUGGCCAGGAUGGCAUUAAAGAAAAUGAGAGAGAAAAGUUUAAGAUAGCAUGGUUGGAGACAAUAAGUAGAAGAAACCAAGUAGUUCAAGUUUUAUAACGCUCUAUCUUAUAAACACUCUUGAACCAAUAAUAAUGCUAUUACUGAAAUGCUACACACAAUUGAAGACUACUUGUUAGACCAAGACCUUAAAAACUUCUUUACUGAUUAUUCCCAAUGUGUGGCCCUGGUAAUCAUUGAAGAAUCAUUGUAUUGACUAUUAAACAUCUAGGGAUCACCUGUUUAAAUCAAGUUAACAAAACACUUACUUAACAAAUAUAUAUUGAUUGCCUAUUAUGAAGUAGAUGCUAUAGUAGGUGCUGGCAGUAUAAACAUGAAAAGAGACAUUGUGUGUGCAUAUUAAUAUACAGCAAAUUAAACUUCAGCCAGAGAAGUACUUUACUAGAAGGUUGAUAGAAGUGUGGUGGUAGCUUGCAGGAGGAAGCAGUUAGCCUCCUUGGAAAUGAGUAAUCUUCACAGAAAGUAUGACAUUUGACCUGCUUCUUGGAGAAGAUGCAUAUUAAACCUAUUAAAUCCAUGUCAGCCUUUAACACCUUUGCUCAGAUUAGUUUCUCGAGCUGUUUUCCCACCUGGUGAGCAGAUAAGAGCAGGACAGGAAAGUUCUGAUGAAAGGAAGAAGUGCCAGAGAGAGAAGGCCUUGCAAGCAAAGAAGCCUGACAGGCAGGAGCCCCUGAGUAUCCUAAGGAGAAGUACCAGCGAUUUAGGGAAGAAAAUUGCUGCCAGAAGUGCAGGAAAUAAAAAUUCUGACCUAGAUCA